CCCUUAGAUGAUUUGGGCUGCACGCGCGCUACACUGACCCUAACAAUGAGCAACUGUCUGGCCUGAGAUGGCUGGGUAGCCUUUUCAACCCAUGUCAUGAUUGGGCUAGAUUUUUGUAAGUCUUGAUCUCUAACGAGGAAUCCCUAGUAUGCGUGAAUCAUCAAUCCAUGCAGAUUAUGUCCCUGCCCUUUGUACACACCGCCCGUCGCUCCUACUGAUUGGGUGAUCCGGUGAGCUGUUCGGCCAUAGCAAUGUUUCUUGAGCAUGGCAAUGAAUGUUUCGCAAACCUUGCCACUUAGAGGAAGGAGAAGUCGUAACA
This 319-nucleotide ribosomal RNA is filed under the name uncultured eukaryote. RNAcentral describes it as "partial 18S ribosomal RNA". It matches the Rfam family "Eukaryotic small subunit ribosomal RNA", at positions 1470 to 1796 of the family's 1831-position model. The record is from RNAcentral.